This 60-nucleotide transfer RNA is filed under the name Cordylochernes scorpioides. RNAcentral describes it as "tRNA-Ser". The record is from RNAcentral. Lineage: Eukaryota; Metazoa; Arthropoda; Arachnida; Pseudoscorpiones; Chernetidae.
CCAUCGGUGGUUCAGUGGUAGAAUGCUCGCCUGCCACGUGUUCGAUUCCCGGCCGAUGCA